This 325-nucleotide ribosomal RNA is filed under the name uncultured bacterium. RNAcentral's name for it is "bacterial SSU rRNA". It matches the Rfam family "Bacterial small subunit ribosomal RNA", at positions 28 to 334 of the family's 1533-position model. The record is from RNAcentral.
GACGAACGCUGGCGGCGUGCUUAACACAUGCAAGUCGAACGAGGGACCAGAGCUUGCUCUGGUUACCCGAGUGGCGAACGGGUGAGUAACACGUGACCAACCUACCUUUGGGAGGGGGACAACCUGGGGAAACCUGGGCUAAUACCGCAUAUUGUCCACUAAUCGCAUGGUUUAUGGAUAAAAGAGAGCCUCUGCUUGCAAGCUCUCACCCAAAGAGGGGGUCGCGGCGUAUCAGCUUGUUGGUGAGGUAAUGGCUCACCAAGGCUACGACGCGUAGCGGGUCUGAGAGGACGAUCCGUCACAUUGGGACUGAGAUACGGCCCAG